RNAcentral lists this ribosomal RNA (841 nucleotides) under uncultured phototrophic eukaryote. RNAcentral describes it as "bacterial SSU rRNA". It matches the Rfam family "Bacterial small subunit ribosomal RNA", at positions 28 to 916 of the family's 1533-position model. The record is from RNAcentral.
GAUGAACGCUGGCGGUAUGCUUAACACAUGCAAGUCGAACGAAAGUUUUUAACUUUAGUGGCGAACGGGUGCGUAAUACGUGAGAAUCUGCCCUUAGGAGGAGGAUAACUACUGGAAACGGUUGCUAACACUCCAUAUGUCGAGAGAUGAAAUAACUUUGUUGCCUAAGGAUGAGCUCGCGCCUGAUUAGCUAGUUGGUGAGGUAAUGGCUCACCAAGGCCACGAUCAGUAGCUGGUUUGAGAGAACGAUCAGCCACACUGGGACUGAGACACGGCCCAGACUCCUCCGGGAGGCAGCAGUGAGGAAUUUUCCGCAAUGGGCGAAAGCCUGACGGAGCAAUACCGCGUGAGGGAUGAAGGAUUUUGGUCUGUAAACCUCUUUUCUCAAGAAAGAAGUUCUGACGGUACUUGAGGAAUAAGCAUCGGCUAACUCCGUGCCAGCAGCCGCGGUAAUACGGGGGAUGCAAGCGUUAUCCGGAAUCAUUGGGCGUAAAGCGCCUGUAGGUUGUUUAUUAAGUCUGUUGUUAAAGACUAGGGCUUAACCCUAGGAAAGCAAGAGAAACUAAUAGACUUGAGUAUGGCAGGGGUAGAGGGAAUUUCUAGUGUAGCGGUGAAAUGCGUAGAUAUUAGAAAGAACACCAGUGGCGAAAGCGCUCUACUGGACCAUUACUGACACUCAGAGGCGAAAGCUAGGGUAGCAAAAGGGAUUAGAUACCCCUGUAGUCCUAGCCGUAAACGAUGGAUACUAGAUGUUGCGUUUAAAUGCAGUAUCGUAGCUAACGCGUUAAGUAUCCCGCCUGGGGAGUACGCUCGCAAGGGUGAAACUCAAAGGAAUUGACGG